UGCUGCGUGGUGUUGGACCAUCCUCUGAGAGAGCUGGCUCCUGGUCUGAGGAAGUUUUAACCAACUUGUUAGGAAUGUGUCUAUAACUUCUGGUGGAGUACCAGUACUAGACUCUGUGGACAGUAAACACAUGUUCCAAGGACGGCUGACACUGAGCCCUGCACACAGAGCUCAUGGGCAGUACUGGGUGCUUGGAACCUGCCUCUGACUUCAUGUGACAGUCCUGGCUCCUCCUUCAGCUCAGCCACGCUUUGGAAACCAGACCCAGCCUCCACAGAGACCUGCUCCCUGCCAGGAUGAUACAGGGAUAGUUCUGUAUGAGAGGACUUCCUCUGGGCCAGGAGUCAGGGCUGGAAAAAACAAUGCAGUCUUUUGACAGUCUCUUUGAAGGUAUCUGGGGAAAAAGCCAUGCCCUACCUCCUCCCUGCUCCCCCUGCCCCAAACCUCAUGCUCAUUUAAUUCUUUUUGAACAUUGGAUAUCAAACAUAAAGUGCUGGACCUGGUUGUCCUUAUUCACACUGGUCUCAAAGAACAUAAAUUCACAGGAGCUGGUGAGAAGUUUGUCAAGCCCAUUGAUCUACCUAAAGGUUUAUAGGAUAAAGGGACACAAAAAAAAUCUUCCUUUGCUUUUCAGGUCAUGAUCUGUAAAAGACAGCUGCCUCUGCUGAUUGCUGUCAGGUCCCAAGGAAGGGCUGCAUUCAAGGGAGGGUGGGACAAACUCACAAGGAUGUUUGUGAGCCAAAAUGCAAGUCUCCAUCAAAUAAAGCAAUCUUGAUCUUGCA
Molecule: long non-coding RNA, 782 nt
Organism: Hirundo rustica (Barn swallow)
Lineage: Eukaryota; Metazoa; Chordata; Aves; Passeriformes; Hirundinidae
Exons: 3
Source: RefSeq, a predicted model, not a curated record